UAGCCAUGGUGCGGGCAUUGAUUUAACAGAUCUUUGAAUCUUUCCCAGACUUGAUAGAACGUUUCAUUGUCCUUUUAGACUAUUGGUCUUAUGGCUGGGGAA
This is a small nucleolar RNA of Humulus lupulus (European hop), 102 nucleotides long. Lineage: Eukaryota; Viridiplantae; Streptophyta; Magnoliopsida; Rosales; Cannabaceae. The record is from RefSeq and is a predicted model, not a curated record.